This 68-nucleotide transfer RNA is filed under the name Ovis aries (sheep). It matches the Rfam family "tRNA". From Rfam's summary of the family: Transfer RNA (tRNA) molecules are approximately 80 nucleotides in length. The record is from Rfam by way of RNAcentral. Lineage: Eukaryota; Metazoa; Chordata; Mammalia; Artiodactyla; Bovidae.
CCUGGUGGCUAAGCAGUAAAGAAUUUGCCUGCUGUGCAAGAGACACAGGUUCGAUUCCUAUGUCAGGA